Molecule: ribosomal RNA, 1233 nt
Filed under: metagenome
Description: bacterial LSU rRNA
Rfam family: Bacterial large subunit ribosomal RNA
Source: RNAcentral
UGAGUACGAGAUGCUACGGCAUUGAAGCAGUCUAUGUCAGACUUCCAAGAAAAGCUCGGAAUAUCAUAAACAAAAAUGCCUGUACCAUAACCGACACAGGUGGGUAGGUAGAGUAUACUAAGGGGCGCGAGAUAACUCUCUCUAAGGAACUCGGCAAAAUGACUCCGUAACUUCGGGAGAAGGAGUGCCUUCUUUUAGAAGGUUGCAAUAACAAGAUCCAAGCAACUGUUUACCAAAAACACAGGUCUCCGCUAAGUCGUAAGACGAUGUAUGGGGGCUGACGCCUGCCCAGUGCCAGAAGGUUAAAGAAGUUGGUUAGUUUCGGCGAAGCUGAUGACUGAAGCCCUGGUGAACGGCGGCCGUAACUAUAACGGUCCUAAGGUAGCGAAAUUCCUUGUCGGGUAAGUUCCGACCCGCACGAAAGGCGUAAUGAUUUGGAUACUGUCUCGGAGAGGGGCUUGGUGAAAUAGACUUGUCUGUGAAGAUGCGGACUACCUGCACCAGGACAGAAAGACCCUAUGAAGCUUUACUGUAACUUGAGAUUGAAAUUGGACUUUAUUUGCGCAGUAUAGGUGGGAGACGUUGAGAAUAUUCUUGCGGGAGUAUUGGAGUCAUCAGUGAGAUACCACUCUUGUAAUGUUAGAUUUCUAACUUUGUAUCAUUAUCUGGUCAAAGGACAGUUUCAGGCGGGCAGUUUGACUGGGCGGUCGCCUCCCAAACGGUAACGGAGGCGCACAAAGGUUUCCUCUGAACGUGUAGAAAUCGUAUCUAGAGUGUAAAGGCAUAAGGAAGCUUGACUGUGAGACCUACAAGUCGAGCAGGGACGAAAGUCGGUCUUAGUGAUCUGACGGUGCUGAGUGGAAAGGCCGUCACUCAACCGAUAAAAGUUACUCUAGGAUAACAGGCUGAUCUCCCCCAAGAGUUCACAUCGACGGGGAGGUUUGGCACCUCGAUGUCGGCUCAUCGCAUCCUGGGGCGGUAGUACGUCCCAAGGGUUGGGCUGUUCGCCCAUGAAAGCGGUACGCGAGCUGGGUUCAGAACGUCGUGAGACAGUUCGGUCCAUAUCCGGUGUAGGCGUUAGAAUAUUGAGAGGAGCCUUCUUUAGUACGAGAGGAUCGAGAAGGACAUACCUCUGGUGUACCAGUUAUCGUGCCAACGGUAAACGCUGGGUAGCUAUGUAUGGAGUGGAUAACCGCUGAAAGCAUCUAAGUGGGAAGCCCACCUCAAGAUGAG